This is a non-coding RNA of Desmospora sp. 8437, 122 nucleotides long. The record is from Rfam. NCBI's taxonomy places the organism in Bacteria, Bacillati, Bacillota, Bacilli, Caryophanales, Thermoactinomycetaceae.
AUAAAAAAGACCUGCGGACUUUACAGCCGCAGGUCCAUGGGAUCCGCUUUGAGCGCGGAUCCUGAAUGGGAGAGGAGAAACCGGAGGAAGAGCUUAUGGGGAAACGUAAGUCUUCUCCGCGG